UUGCAGAUCCGAGUAUCCGACCACCAACCAACCAUUGCAAGUUUGCAACAGAGCAAGAACUAAACAAAGUAUGGAAAAGUCAAGUCUAAAAGCUGACCAAGACUGCUGACUUUUCCCCCAUAAUUUGUUUUUGUCCUAUACUCCUAUGUUAGUCCUUUUCUGUUUUAUUAAAGUCGCAAACAAUUCUACAUAGCUGACUGCUUCUACGGCUAUUCAGAAAGGCAGAACUGAACCAUAAUUCAAUUCGAAACGCACAGCUCAUCGUUUGCAUCUUUUCAUUCUCCACAUUUUAAUAGGAGUAGAACAGAGCACCUGAAGCUGACUUCAGGUUUCAGAAAAUGCGAGAAGGCCUUCAGGAACACAGAGAAAUCACGGCCUGCCAAGAAGGCAAGGUAACAAUCACAAGAACAAGUACUCGCGGUAUGCUCGUGUGAUGUGAAGCUCCAUGUCGCGGGAAAACCAAGGCUCCGGCACC
Molecule: long non-coding RNA, 475 nt
Filed under: Oryza brachyantha (malo sina)
Lineage: Eukaryota; Viridiplantae; Streptophyta; Magnoliopsida; Poales; Poaceae
Description: long non-coding RNA (OBRA_LNC000621)
Source: RNAcentral